Long non-coding RNA from Ruditapes philippinarum (Manila clam), 332 nucleotides. RefSeq lists it as uncharacterized. The record is from RefSeq and is a predicted model, not a curated record. NCBI's taxonomy places the organism in Eukaryota, Metazoa, Mollusca, Bivalvia, Venerida, Veneridae. The transcript is spliced from 3 exons.
AAAAUACAGGUUAUAUAUAAAUACGGCAUCAGUGGGUGUCCCAGAUAAAUCUUGCUGACGACAGAAGCUGAUCUAUAGCGCUGGUCGUUGAAAACAUCAAAUAUGUUUAUUGAUCUAAAGAUGCUUGCGUGUUUGGCAUUGUGUGUUGUCAUGGCACAAGGGGGAAAUAUGGAUCACCCUGAUAUUAUACGAAAGUUACUUAUGGAAGCAUUGUUCGGACGGGACUACUAUGAUAAUGUACCUAACCUAAUGAAGAAGGACUAUGAGGGGAAAGGGAAAGUACCUUAUAUUAUGAAGAAGGACUAUGAGGGGAAAGGGAAAGUGCCUUAUAU